Notechis scutatus (mainland tiger snake) is the source of this 88-nucleotide non-coding RNA. The record is from RefSeq and is a predicted model, not a curated record. NCBI's taxonomy places the organism in Eukaryota, Metazoa, Chordata, Lepidosauria, Squamata, Elapidae.
AUCAUGCCAUUAUAUUUUCAUUAUAUUUUCUAAUUUUUCAUAUCUUUUGUAUAAUCAAUUGCAUUUUCUAUUUCAAGUAUACCACAAA